GGGAGUACUAUGCCACAUCUUUCCAUCCAUUAACUGGUGAUUGAAUUUGAAGAUCCACCUUCAUUACCUACUGUAAAGACUUUUUUUCAGGACAGUAAAUAUCAUCAGGAGUUGAUUCUAUAUAUCCUGGCCCACCAAAAGGAAUAUUGCAGAAAAUACUUUUCCUGAAGUCAGACAUGCUUCAACAUUUUAAUAGUGAGAGUUGGUACGAGAAGUUUAGAAUGCCACAAGCUCUGGGAUGACUUGGCCCUCUCAUUCUGCCACAGUCCACUGUGAUGAAAGCCCCAGUAAUAUUGGAGAAGAGAGUUGCAAUUGCACUUUACAAGCCGCUUACAGAAGCCACCCAAGAAUGAUGUUCCUUUAAUGUGAGUAGUGAUAUUCUUCUACAAUCUUCUACAGCUCUGUGAUGGUCAGUUUUCUACUUUCUGUGUGCUGGGGUGGAGACAUCACUUCAUGAGAGACCCAUCGAAUCAACAAGUUAAUUAAAAGGGCAGACUUGGUUACUGAACACACUUUGGACUCCCUGGAGGUAGUACCAAAGGAGACCGUUAUGACAAAGGAAAAAUUUGUGGGAUAAAUUCCAAAUAGCAGCUCCACAAAAUGGUAGUUCUGAUGCCUUGCUGCAACGUUCAUGCCCCAAGUGCUCCCUGCAUUGGAUUUACACUUUCUUAACAUGAAUGUUUGGGUUUCUCCGGAUCCUCAAAUUUCCUUCCAUAGUUCAAGGACAUGUAGAUUAGGGGAAUUGAUAUUAUUCUUAUUGGCACAGAUGUGUGUAUGUGUGUGUGUGUCCAUUCUACAAUGGACCAGUGUCCUGUCCAGGUAUUGUUCCAGCUGAAAAUGUAAGGCAUGUGUAACAAACAAUGCAAUGGAUAAUGUUUCAGAACUAUAGGCUGUGCUUUUUCUACAGAAUCAACCCACUACAACCCACUAGGUGUGUGGAUGGCACCGUACAUCAGCAUGUUGGCAUGCUUUUACAGAAAGUUCCACGUAAAGAAAUGAAAAUGUGUUUUUAGCAUAGAUAAAUUAACAUUUGCUAACAUUUUUUUUCUUAGAAUUGGAAUAAAAGUAAUGUGUCACUAGUAAAAUGGAAUGGAAUCUUUAUUUUCAAUGUACUUGUAUUCUGUGCAGAAGUACAACACACCGAGUGUCCAGAAAUGUAUUGCAUGAAGACAAACUGUAAAUUGUAAGAGAUAUAUGUUAUUUUUUUCUCCUCCUACGUGACAUAAAAAAUGUGUAUAUUUGUAAGACUAAUAUGAUGCAUCUACCUGCUAAAAUGUUA
Long non-coding RNA from Polypterus senegalus (gray bichir), 1279 nucleotides. RefSeq lists it as uncharacterized. Lineage: Eukaryota; Metazoa; Chordata; Cladistia; Polypteriformes; Polypteridae. The transcript has 3 exons. The record is from RefSeq and is a predicted model, not a curated record.